Molecule: ribosomal RNA, 478 nt
Filed under: uncultured bacterium
Lineage: Bacteria
Description: partial 16S ribosomal RNA
Rfam family: Bacterial small subunit ribosomal RNA
Source: RNAcentral
GACGAACGCUGGCGGCGUGCUUAACACAUGCAAGUCGAACGUGAUUUUUGUGGCAAUUCUUUCGGGAAUGGAAAUGAAAUGAAAGUGGCGAACGGGUGAGUAACACGUGAGCAACCUACCUUACACAGGGGGAUAGCCGUUGGAAACGACGAUUAAUACCGCAUGAGACCACAGAAUCGCAUGAUAUAGGGGUCAAAGAUUUAUCGGUGUAAGAAGGGCUCGCGUCUGAUUAGCUAGUUGGAAGGGUAAAGGCCUACCAAGGCGACGAUCAGUAGCCGGUGUGGGAGGAGGAGCGCCCACUGGAAAAAUGGAACACGGUCCAAAUCCCUAGGGGAGGGGGGGGAGGGAAAUAUGCAACAGGGGGGGGAACCCUGAGGAGUCGACGCCGGGGGAAGAAAGAAGUUGUUCGAAUCGAAAAGCUUGGUCUUAGGAAAAGAAAAUGACGGUAUCAUAGGAGGAAGCCCCGGCUAAUUACGUG